RNAcentral lists this ribosomal RNA (433 nucleotides) under uncultured bacterium. RNAcentral's name for it is "partial 16S ribosomal RNA". It matches the Rfam family "Bacterial small subunit ribosomal RNA", at positions 29 to 507 of the family's 1533-position model. The record is from RNAcentral.
AACGAACGCUGGCGGCAUGCCUAACACAUGCAAGUCGAACGAGAGCUUCGGGUCUAGUGGCGCACUGGUGCGCGACACGGGGGAAUCUGCCCUGUGCUUCGGAAUGACAGGUAGGAAUAAGUGCGAAUACCGGAGGAUGUCGAAAGACCAAAGAUUUAUCGGCAAAGGAUGAGCCUGCGUAGGCUUAGGUAGAUGGUGGGGUAUAGCCCUACCAAGCCGACGAUCCUUAGCUGGUCUGAAAGGAUGAUCAGCCACACUGGGCCUGAGGCACGGCCCAGACUCCUACGGGAGGCAGCGGUGGGGUAUACUGGACAAGGGGCGAGAGCGUAAUACAGCAACGCCGCGUGAAUCAUUAAGGCCUUAGGGUUGUAGAGCUAUUUUAACAGGGAUGAUAAUGACAGUACCUGGAGAAUAAGAUCCGGCUAACUCCGUG